AACGAACGCUGGCGGCAGGCUUAACACAUGCAAGUCGAGCGCCCCGCAAGUGGGACGGCAGACGGAUGAGUGACGCGUGGGGACGUACCCUUAUCUUCGUGGUAGCUCCGGGUAACGGGAAGUAAUACCGAAUGUGCCCUUUGGGGGAAAGAUUUAUCGGAUAAGGAUCGGCCCGAGUUGUAUUCGCUAGUUGGUGGGGUGAAUGCCUACCAAUGCGACGAGCCAGAGAGGGGCGGAGAGGAUGAUCAGACACAUUGGGACUGAGACACGGCCCAAACUACUACGGGAGGCAGCAGUGGGGAAUAUUGGACAAUCGGCGCAAGCAUGAUCCAGCCAGGCCGCGUGAGUGAUGAAGGUCUUAGGGUUGUACAGCUCUUUAACAGGAGAAGAUAAUGACGGUAUCCGGAGAAGAAGCCCCGGCUAACUUCGUG
This 431-nucleotide ribosomal RNA is filed under the name uncultured bacterium. RNAcentral describes it as "partial 16S ribosomal RNA". It matches the Rfam family "Bacterial small subunit ribosomal RNA", at positions 29 to 507 of the family's 1533-position model. The record is from RNAcentral.